GACGAACGCUGGCGGCGUGCUUAACACAUGCAAGUCGAGCGGCGGCGAACGGGUGAGUAACGCGUGGGUAACCUGCCCUUAAGUCUGGGAUACCAUUUGGAAACAGAUGCUAAUACCGGAUACUACAGGCUGGACUUGCGAUGCAUUAGCUAGUUGGUAAGGUAACGGCUUACCAAGGCGAUGAUGCAUAGCCGACUUGAGAGAGUGAUCGGCCACAUUGGGACUGAGACACGGCCCAGACUCCUACGGGAGGCAGCAGUAGGGAAUCUUCCACAAUGGACGAAAGUCUGAUGGAGCAACGCCGCGUGAGUGAAGAAGGUUUUCGGAUCGUAAAGCUCUGUUGUUGGAGAAGCGGUAAUCAACAAGAAAGUCACGGCUAACUACGUGCCAGCCGCCGCGGUAAUAC
Molecule: ribosomal RNA, 406 nt
Filed under: uncultured bacterium
Lineage: Bacteria
Description: partial 16S ribosomal RNA
Rfam family: Bacterial small subunit ribosomal RNA
Source: RNAcentral